CCAGUCUUAGACAGGUUAAGACAUUUACAAAACACAUUUAUAGCUAUAACUUAAUUAAUUGCUGUAUAAAAGGGUCAUAACAAUGCAAUAGAGAGGUACAAAUUAGACACAAAACGGAAUACCAUGACUCAAAUAAACAGGUUGUGUAGGCCUAUAACUGCAAUUGUAAAAUGUUUAGUCUGUUUAUGUUCUCUAUUCCAGACCCAUGGUAAUGCUCUAGUCUCCUUAAUCAUUUAGCAUAUUCACUUGUGCUCAAAUUAACACCUAACCUACUUCACCAGGCGUGUAGACAUACUACUGGUGAAAUAUCUGUUUCCCUAACCAUGUCUGUCUGCUUGCAGUACAUCCAGCGUGCCUUGCUCAAGGGCACAUUGGCAGAUUUUUCACCUACUCGGCUCUGGGAUUUGAACAAGCAACAUUUUGGUUACUGUCCCAACACUCUUAACCGCUUGGCUACCUGCCGUAGCCGUACCUGAUAGAUCCGUUCCUGUAUGGAUUCACUGCAGCUCUGCAGAGUCUGUGUAGGGGUGAGGACAAGCUGGAGAUGGAGGAGAUGGUGUUGGAGUAUGCUGACAUAAAGGACGAGGCCCCUAAGAGUCUACUGAAGCUGCUGAGAGACAGAAGCUUCUGAUGGCAGCUCAUCACCAUGGUGGUGGUGUACAGCCGCAUCCAGUUCGCUGGCAUCACUGCAGAGCUCCUCAAGUCGUUCAGCUUCGUGCUGUUCACCUGCAUGUGUCUGUUGGCGUCACUCUGUCUUCUUCUACCUACUGGAGACCAAGGGGAAAACCCUUCUGGAGAUCUCAGGGAGUUUAAAAACAUCACUCUGUGUGUAAAACCCCUCUCACAUGACAAGACCCUGGAGACAAAGUUAGAAAAACUGUUGGAAGCAAAAUAACUGAGAUGUAUUAUACUCUGUCUGAGUUGUUUAGUUUGUAUUUUAGUAUUGUCCAUCCUGUAUAUUUAUACACUGUGCAUUCACAGCCAUAUA
This is a long non-coding RNA of Oncorhynchus gorbuscha (pink salmon), 988 nucleotides long. RefSeq lists it as uncharacterized. The record is from RefSeq and is a predicted model, not a curated record. The transcript is spliced from 3 exons. Lineage: Eukaryota; Metazoa; Chordata; Actinopteri; Salmoniformes; Salmonidae.